GCGCCCUCGCCCGCCAGGCUCUCCGCCCGCCGCCCGCGCCCGGCCCCGGCGCCCCGGCCCGCCGCCCGCGCUUCAUGGCUGCGCACGAAUGGGACUGGUUCCAGCGCGAGGAGCUCAUCGGGCAGAUCAGCGACAUCCGCGUCCAGAACCUGCAAGUUGAGAGGGAAAAUGUGCAGAAGAGAACCUUUACUCGAUGGGUAAAUCUGCAUCUAGAGAAGUGCGACCCACCCCUAGAAGUUAAAGAUUUAUUCAUUGAUAUCCAAGAUGGCAAAAUCCUAAUGGCUUUGUUAGAAGUCCUGUCUGGGCGGAAUCUGCUGCAUGAGUACAAGUCCUCAUCCCAUCGUAUUUUCCGGUUGAACAACAUAGCAAAAGCACUUAAGUUUUUGGAAGAUAGCAAUGUAAAACUGGUUAGCAUCGACGCAGCGGAAAUAGCAGACGGCAACCCCUCUUUGGUUCUUGGGCUGAUAUGGAACAUAAUUCUCUUCUUCCAGAUUAAGGAGCUCACGGGCAAUCUCAGCAGAAACUCGCCAUCUUCCAGCCUGUCACCUGGCUCGGGGGGCACAGACUCAGACUCUUCCUUCCCACCCACGCCCACCGCGGAGAGGAGUGUGGCGAUAUCUGUGAAAGAUCAGAGGAAGGCUAUCAGGACCCUGCUGGCGUGGGUGCAGAGGAAGACGAGGAAGUAUGGCGUGGCGGUGCAGGACUUCGCGGGCAGCUGGAGAAGCGGGAUGGCUUUCCUGGCCGUGAUCAAGGCCAUCGACCCCAGCCUGGUUGACAUGAAGCAGGCUCUGGAAGACUCCAUGCGGGAAAACCUGGAGAAGGCCUUCCGCGUGGCGCACGAGGCCCUUCACAUUCCCAGGCUCCUGGAGCCAGAAGACAUCAUGGUUGACACGCCAGACGAGCAGUCCAUCGUGACUUACGUGGCACAGUUUCUGGAACAUUUCCCGGAGUUGGAAGCUGAGGAUCUCGUGGAUUCGGAUAAAGAAGCCCCUAUUGAAUCCACCUUUGUCCACAUCAAAGAAACCCCUUCUGAACAGGAGAGCACCGUCUUCCUUCUGACGGAGAAUGGGGAGCGAGCUUACACCGUCAACCACGAAGCCAGCCACCCGCCGCCCUCCAAAGUAUUUGUCUGUGACAAGUCUGAGAGCGCGAAAGAAUGCUACCUGAGUGUCAUGCCCAGCCAGGCGCUCUCAGACAGCUCCACUGACUUCAUGCACCAGAUCAUCGACCAGGCCCUCCAAGAGGUCCCGGGGAAGGCCAGCAGCACUGGUGAGCCAUCUCCGGAAUCUUCCAUUUUAUCCUCCAGAAAGGACAACCGGAGGUCCAACUCUUUGCCAAUCAAGAAGACCGUGCACUUUGAGGCUGACACCUACAAGGAGGCUUCCUGCAGUAAAGACCCUUUCUACAGUCAAGACCUUCGCUUUGAGGGGAGCCCGAGAGGGACAAAGGACUCGCUGAAGCAGGAUGGGGACGUCCUGGCAGCUGAGAUUGCCGAGGAAAAGCCGAAGCAGGAAGCCCCGAAGAUUCCGGAAGCGGCCUCUGAUGAGUCACCGGGGGUCGAGUCUUUGGUGGACAGGAAGAUCAAUCAUUCGCAGACUUCGGAGAGUUGUCCCUCCUGGAACGGGGCGCCAGAGGGUGCGGCCGGUGGGGGGAAGGAGAGCCGUCCCCUUUCACCCCUCGGGGACAACGCGGUUAUGGCCGAUUCCUUGGAGAUCAAGGUCCAGCUGCUGACCGUAGAAGCUAUGGCUGAGGAAGACUAUUUUGAAAGCACACCUUUAAAAGCCUCUAAGUUCAACAGUGACCUAAUAGAUUUUGCCUCAACCAGCCAGGCCUUCAAUGAGGUUCCUCCGCCUCGUGAGAAAAGACCUGUCGGGGAAGAGGUUCCGGAGGAUCACGCUGAGAAGUUGGGAAAGAGGAGAAGCAAAUCUGCGCACCAGCGCAAAGACUCGGACGAGUCCCCAGAGAGGCCGGACAAGCAGGAACCCCACAAGGACCCUGGGCGAGAGGACCCAGGCUAUUCUUUGGCCCCCGAGGAGGCACCGGUGGAAAAAAAGCCAGAGGCGUACGAGAAGCCCAAGCGCAAGUCCGCGCGGCGCCGUCGGGGCGAGGACGAGGGGGAGGCCGCGGGGCCGCAGGGGCCGGACGGCGAGCUGCCCUCCGACCCUCCGAGUGGCAGCCUCAGCCUGGAGACCCUGCACAGCCACAGCCAGGAAGGCCUGGACUUCAAGCCCUCCCCGCCGCUGUCCAAGGUCUCCGUCAUUCCCCACGACCUUUUCUACUACCCGCACUACGAGGUGCCCCUGGCAGCGGUUCUGGAGGCUUAUGCGGAAGGCUCGGAGGACCUGAAACACCAAGACCUGGAUCCGGAGGAGCCGGAGGACUAUCUGCAUGACCUGGGGGCCGGGGCCGGGGCCGAGGCCGAGGAGGCCGAGGAGGCCGAGGUCUCUUGGAACAGCUGUAGCUCCUCGGGGCCGGGCGAGGAGGGCCCUGAGGCCAGCAUCCCGGCCCCGAGUACCGACGGGGGUGCAGAGGGCACCAGACCAGCCUCGGAGCCCGCACCCCCAGCCCCUCCAGAAGGCCACCAGCCAGGGGAGGCCGAAGAGGGCGGCCCUGUGGAGAGCCAUCAGUCCCAGGGAUCUGAAAACUCGGGAAACUUAGCAAACUCUUUAGAAGAAAAGGUAACGGGAGAGUCAAUCAGCAGUAAAAAAAAGGAAAAAAGGAAGCACGUGGACCACGUAGAAAGUUCAAUAUUUAUAGCACCCGGCACCGUCCGAUCCUCAGAGGACCUAGAAGGAGACACGGGUGACCACAAAGUCCUCUCCAGGACUAGUCACAGUGACUCCAGCAUUUACAUUCGACGACAUACUAACAGGUCUUUGGAAUCGGACCACUUUAGCUAUGUUCGGUUGAGGAACGCGGCAGAUCAGGAUGACAGAAGGAACCGAAUGUUAACCAGGUACAAUACUCAGAAGCUCACUGAGCUGAUAUUACAGUUUUAUGGCAUCAGAGCAGAUAUGAAGAAGGAGUGCAAACAUACCAGGAUGUCUAUGAAAGAAGGCCAACGACUCUGGCGAAGCCGUGUUGCAGGAGAGCCAGAGCUCACAGAGCGACUCUCUGACCCAGUUUGUCCAGCAGCCGGAUAUGAUGUAUUUUAUUCUCUUCCUCUGGCUCCUGGUUUACUGCCUACUGCUGUUCCCACAGCUGGACGUCACCAGACUCUGAUGCGUGUGUCUGCAUAAUAAAAAAAGGCUCCUGACCGGGGGGCAGGAGUCUUGUCACUUCCCUUUUAUUGGGGUUUGAAUGGGCCACUCUGCAGACAGCCGAGGGCCUCCAAGGAAACAGCGUCCCUCUCCCUGCUGUCUCCAUGGGUUCCCUUCUCUCCUGCAAGUCCUAAGCACGCUUUUCUCUUCCGCCGUGUCCUCAAAACUCAGGUGUCUGUCUGGCUGGAGUCCCUAAGCGGAGCGUGUUCCUGCGUGCCUUGCUUUGGCAGGACUCAGAACAUUGCGACGCCAGUCUCUCAAACACACAUCCGAGUAAACAAGAAUGUGUCUUACCGAAUAUCACAAAUCACCAAAGCUUCUUCGGUAAGAACUAUUCUCCUUCCGUGGUUAUGUCGCUUUCCGAGCCUCUUCCUGUCUCUUUCCGAGUGCAGUCACGCAACGGGACUCGAGGGCCCGCCGGAGCUUUGAGAUGUGGCCUCUCUGCCUCUCUUCUUAGAGACCUUCCUCCGGGGUCUCUGCCAAAUUACCCAGCUGUACUCAGCUUUGCGUCCUGAACCCCCCCGAGUGGGCUGCAUGGGAAUCCCAAGCCGGCGUGGCUUCUCAGAACCUUCUCGGCGAUGCUCUUGCUGGGAAGCAAACACCUAGAGCCCUCCAGGUCCAGAUGUGCUCUUUCUCUCUCGCUGACGUUGCAUAAUCUCGGCUAAAACGGCCUUUGGGGGAAGAUUUAACAUGUUGGGCCCGCAGCUGUCCCAGGGACCCCCCCACCGCCACCCCCCAAAUAGCAGGUUACACCUCUGGCCCUUGCAGCUGGUGAGCGGGGCUGCUCCCAGGACACAGUCCAGGACCCGGGGCGAGACGCUGAAGGCUGAGAGCCGGCAUGAAUGAGAUCAUGCUUCUUUGCCGAAAAUUGCCACAGAGUUUGCCUGAACAGUUAGCCAGGGUGAGGGAGCCAUGAAAGGAGACAUAGCUUCUCUGCCGGACGGGGAGUCCACAGAUCUUUCGACCCCACCUCUCAUCAGGCAUUUCCUUGCGGAAGGACGGCAGUUUAGGCAAGUUUAGGGAGCCUGGUGCCCGAGAAGCAUGUCUUUGGGGUGAAUUGUGCCCCGGAUCUAACAUUUCUGUCUUGUGUAGACCCCGCGUGUUUAGGCUCGGGCUUGGGGUGAGUUUGGCCGAGUAAUUGGGCGAUUCCCGGGUACUUGGGAUCUCCGGCUUCUCCGAGAGCCAGCAGAGGACCACGGGGGUUCCUGUGCACCCCGGCCUAUCCUAGCAUCUGCAGGACCACCCCCCCUUCCCCCUGCCUUCCCGCCCCGCUCCGCAGAGCCUGGAGGCCGACUUGUUUGUGUUUACAAUGUGUUCGGAGAACCUUGAGGAAAACACAUCAAGCAAGCAGUUCUCGCUGGCCGAGGGCCGUCCCAUCCACAAGCCAGGAAGACAACUAUUUAUCUUGUGCUGUUUGACCACGCUGUUCUUAAAUGCGACCACAACUCAACCCUCCGUGGGCCGAUCCCGCGGCUAACCUUUUAAAUUGCCGACGCCUUAGGUUUCAUCCCGCAGGGGUCUGUCCAGCUGAAACCAUUUUCCUUAAAUCGUCACUCCGUUCGUCCUCUUCCUCCGGGAGGUACUGUGGGAUGGGGAAAGCGCAGGUUUGGGAAUCAGCCAGAUCUAGGUUGGAGUCCCCGCUCGGUCACCUGGUAUGGGCAUGACCAUUAAGCCCUCUGGGCGUCUUCUGUGCGGAGUGGCCCCCACGUGCACACUGGUUGAAUGAAGAGUGCUUCCCUGCAAAUCUGCCGCGAGGCUGGGAAGGGUCCAGUAGCUCCUUGCUGUGCAUCGCCUUCCUCUCCAAGCUUUGCAGACGCCCUCUUUCCUUAACGUUCCAUUGACCGGAGCUGCUUUGCAGUCUCUCCCGUCCGCCUUGCUCCCGCCUGCUGCUCUGUCUCCACUCUAACCCGAGCCUUUUAAAGAGGAAGUUGCAACCACCGUAUGCCCAUUACUCCCCGGACCCUCAGCACAACCAUGGGAGGUCAGUUCAGAGAUGAAGCUAACGCCUAGGGAGGGGGAAAAAAAAAAAAAAAAAAAAAAAAAAACAAGGUCACAGAACCAGGAACAUAGGACUCUUGUUUGCAAACCCUGAUUUUCGCCCCGGGCUUCACUGCUUAGAAAAUAAAGUUCUACCCUGACGAGGUUCUGAUUCUCCAUGACUUUGGCCUAGUUGGCAACUGUGGGUGGAGGUUCCCAGAGUCGGGAAGGUGGGGAACUGGGUUAGCCCCAUUGUCAUUCCCCACCGUGCGUCCUUCUUCCCCCUCUCAAGUCGCUGCACUUAACUCCCAAGCCCAUAUCAGAGCCGCUGAAGUGUCCCCUUCAUGCUUGCAUAAAAAUGACUGCAGAUGCCCCAAGUUCGUGUUUUAGCCUGGGGUGGCAAAUUUGCAGCCAAACUCAUGGCCUCUCAAGAACCUCUAGCAGUAAAAUCUCAGCGUCUAACCUCACAAACUUCAGCGACCCGUUACCUCUGCAUCCUGCCCCAGCUAAUCACCUCUCCACCUGCCAACACAUGCUUUUCAGAGCAGGAAAUUAGGCUCUCUCCUUCCAAAAACAAAUACAUUUCACGGUGCUGGGCAGAGCACAGUUAAAGUGGGGUUGCAGGAGUCAGAGAACUUGGACGAAGUCAUAAUUCGUGGGUCCGUGACCUAGAAAUACUUAUUUUGCCUUGAAGUUUUAAAAGUUGUGAUUUUUGUAUUAUUGCAAAAAUGGAAAUAUCUUUUUGGUUUAUUCCAUGCACAUCAGCGACCGCUUCCCUUAGCCCCACCUGAAGUCAAUGGAAUGUUCUCCGCAAGACGGUGCUAUGAGGGAGAACAGCCACAAAUGCCUGUGUUUCUAAAUGCCCCGCAAGGAUUGAAACGCUUCCUUAAAGGAAACUCUCUGUAACCCAGAGAGUUGACAUGGUUCCAAAGUAGGAACAUGUAGACAGUGGUCUGAGCAUCAGGAACCCACAUCCAGGCUGUGGCUCACCUGCUGUGACACCUUGAGUAAUUCAUUUACCUCUCUGGGUCAGAAGUUGGAAGAUCUGUUAGAAAGUCCUGCCGAAGUUUAAACAUCCAAAGGUUAGCAAGUUCGAUGGGGUUUUUUGUUUUGUUUUGUUUUUUAAGCUCAGUAAGUGACCUCUUUGCUUAAAAUAAAUGCAUCUCUGUAUUUUGUAAGUGAAAUCCAAAGCUUAGAACAUUGCUUCCGGCUUUAGUAUCUGAUAAAGGUGCCUUCAGGAAGGGUUUGGUAAAACAAAGCGUAGUCUGUUAGAGGUGUGGGGAUGAAAGUUGGGAGGAGGGUGGGGGAGACCUGCUUCCUAGGGCUCCCGGACCUGAACUGGUCUCCUUAACAUAGGUCCGCAUAGAAGGCGGUUUCCCGGGGAAAUCUGUUCCAAAUGUGAAAGUUCAGCAGUGGGAGCAAAGAGCUGUAAACUGGACCUUUCUUUCUGCACUUCCCAGCUUCCCCCCCUUUCCCUAGCAGACUCCAAACAGGUAGAGAAAUCUCAGUGGACUCCAGCUGUGUGCAUUCUAACAUGGGACCCCUGGAGCCAACGAGGGACACCUCCGGGUCGAAUGUCCCUGAGUCGGCGCCGUACCUGUGGGGUGGGGUGGGGGUGGAGGGAUUUUGUGCUUGAAAUUGCACCAUAAGAUAGUGCCUGCAUCACCUGCAUCGGAGCCAAAGACAAGUUGGAAAAAAUAGUUCUUCGCUACCAUAGUAUAUCGUUGGGGCAAAUUACUAAGCCUGGCCAUGGUGUCUUCAGAGCCUGUUUUAUUGGAUGGCGACAGGAGUUUAUUUCAAGGUCUGUAACACGUUUAACGGAUUCAAUGCUACCAUUUCUUUCAAUGUCACGGCAGAGCUUCCUGGACAAAUGUCUGAACCUUUUUACUGAGGGCGCUAAGAGAAUUAUUGAGAAAAAGUGAAAUGUUAUUUUGUAGAACAAGGAUUAUUUUGUCUAUUUAGUACAUACAUAGAGCCGUAGCUUUGUAAAAAGGGGUCUUUGUAAAAAGAAAUAGUAUGAAUGUGCACUCUUAUUUAUUGAUUAUUGUAAAUGAAGCUAAAAAUGACUAUUUGCAUAAUUUAUACCUGUGGGAAAUUCACUGGAGUAUUUGCUAUUUGACCGUUUUCUAUUAAGGAACAGCAUAGGCCCGGUGCUAUGACGAAUGGUCUCGGAAAAUCACGUGUAUUCUUAAGAAAAUUUUUAAGUGUAAA
Neofelis nebulosa (Clouded leopard) is the source of this 7448-nucleotide RNA transcript. It is a transcript of the gene named calmin, with no coding region annotated. NCBI's taxonomy places the organism in Eukaryota, Metazoa, Chordata, Mammalia, Carnivora, Felidae. The record is from RefSeq and is a predicted model, not a curated record. The transcript has 15 exons.